RNAcentral lists this ribosomal RNA (269 nucleotides) under uncultured prokaryote. Its description in RNAcentral is "partial 16S ribosomal RNA". It matches the Rfam family "Bacterial small subunit ribosomal RNA", at positions 524 to 792 of the family's 1533-position model. The record is from RNAcentral.
AACGUAGGAGGCGAGCGUUAUCCGGAUUCAUUGGGCGUAAAGGGCAAGUAGGCGGUCGUGCAAGUUGGGCGUGACAUAUCCCGGCUUAACUGGGAGGGUGCGUUCAAUACUACACGACUAGAGGGCAGGAGAGGGAGGCGGAACUCCUAGUGUAGCGGUGGAAUGCUCAGAUACUAGGAAGAACACCAGUGGCGAAGGCGGCCUCCUGGACUGUUCCUGACGCUGAGAGGCGAAAGCUAGGGGAGCAAACGGGAUUAGAUACCCCCGUA